CUUGAUUGGUUGUGUUUUCGCUAUCGAGCAAAAUGUCUCAGGUGUAUGAAAACAUCUUUCGUGACGCUCUGAAAGAUUUCAGAGAAUGACCUGAUUUCAGGCUAUUGUAAUUCGUUGGAGGAGGUGGAAACACUUCUCGAUCAGCUGAAAACUGUGGGGUUUUCAUACUGCGUGAGAAGUAGUCGUUUUAAAGAGCCAUCUUCAGAUGUUAUGAAAAGUAAAACAAAGCAUUUCUUCAAGCAAAUGCAGGGACAUGUCCCUAUCCCCUUUUUUGGUUGUGCAUUUGCAGUGGAGAGUGUGUGGUCAAGGCACUAUGUUUUGGGGCCAAAAUACUAUAAAAGUAAAGAGUCUAGUGUACCUGAGCACUUGGUAAUAUCAUGCUGUGUUAAGAUAGACUUACUUUCCAUAAAACAAGUUAGUUACAGGGAAAGUUUAUUAAAUAAAUUUUAUAGUAGUUCUUUACCCUCUUUAGGAAGACCAUGUGACUCCUCGUAAGAGAUUAAGGAUCAUGGAUACUAGAAAAUCCAACUGCCCAGCAAGUUUAAAUAUGAAGUGUAUAAGGGUGUAUCCUGAUUACAGUAUGCACUCAGCAACUGAACACAGGGAUACCAAGGCAAAAGUCAGUAUCCAGUUUGGGUUCUGCUUGGAGAAAAUUUUACAUGAUCAGUUGACAGUAUACUUUAAAAUCUAUUGUUUUUAAUGCUCUUAAUUAAAUAAUUGAUACAUUUUUGUCUUACAGGUUCUUGCAAGUCUACAGAAAGAUUUGGCAUUGCCAUGCUCGCCGAAGAGCUACCUACAUUAUUAUUUGACUGCUUCCCUAGCAAGUGCACACACACACACACACAUGCUACUGAAAGUGUUGAAGCAAGUGGGUACAUACAUCCUUCACUUGUAAAGGAAAUCAAAAACUUAGUACUCAGUGGAAUGACAUCUCUCAAAGUCAUUAAGAUGGCUCUAGAUAGAUUUGUUGAAAUCAAUUUCACUGGGACACACAGACCAGGUCAAAUGAAUACUACCUUUUACCCCACAGAGAAAACUAUUUACAGUCACAUUUAUCGGACCCUUUAUGGUACGAAUAAAGUAUUGUUUGACGAGACUAGACUGCAGAAUCAAGUUGAUGAGUGGCACAAAGACUCGAGCAAUCACAUGAUUUAUUAUAGACAUUGUAUGGGAGCCAAUGGAGAAGUGAAACCAUUACUUUUUUGCUAUCAGAGCAGUUGGCAGAGAGAUCUUUUGAAGAAGUAUGGGGGUAGUUGUUUGUUAGAUGCAACAUACAAAACAUCAUCAUAUGAUAUUCCUUUAUUUUUUAUAGCUGUGAAGAGUAAUGUGGGCUAUUUGGUUGUCGUUUUUUUUUUUUUCAUUCAGAUUGAAAAUGCAAGAUCCAUUCAUGAAGCACUAGACAUUUUCAAGGACUGGAACAAGGAUUGGAAUCCCCUCUGUUGGGUUACUGAUUUCUCGGAGUCGGAGAUAAAUGCAAUUGAGCAAGCAUUCCCUCAGACAAAAGUUUACUUGUGCCUUUUCCAUUGAAAACAGGCAUGGGGAAGAUGGUUGGAAAAAAAAAGAUAAUCUACGUGUACCAAAUGACAUGAAGACAUUUCUAGACAUGUGGCAAGAAAUUUCAGAAUCACCAACAGAGAGAGAAUUUAGAGAUCACGUAGAAGAGUUGCGAACGCAUGAGGUUUCUCGGAGAAACGAGCGUGCAUGGCCAUACUUUCAACAGCAAUGGCUAACGGUAUGUGAAAGAUGGGUGAAAGCGUAUGAGGACAAGGGCAGAUUUGCAACCAUUGACACUACAAAUGGAGUUGAAGCCAUGAACAAGGUUGUAAAACAUUUUUUCCUUAAACACAAUUCAGACAGGACUUUAACUGGGGUUACUAAGGUUAUAAUAAACCAGUUUCUUCCAAGCCUAAUUAGAAAGUACUGUCUGCAGAAUUAUGCCAUCAAAGCUUAUAACAAAGAUGUUCCACUGUUUUUGCAUAAAAAAAACAAACAA
Molecule: long non-coding RNA, 1993 nt
Organism: Schistocerca cancellata (South American locust)
Lineage: Eukaryota; Metazoa; Arthropoda; Insecta; Orthoptera; Acrididae
Exons: 3
Source: RefSeq, a predicted model, not a curated record